RNAcentral lists this ribosomal RNA (658 nucleotides) under uncultured organism. Its description in RNAcentral is "bacterial SSU rRNA". It matches the Rfam family "Bacterial small subunit ribosomal RNA", at positions 813 to 1483 of the family's 1533-position model. The record is from RNAcentral.
UCACUCUCUGUUGGGGCUACAUAGUCAGCCAGUGUGGGAGAGCGUUAAGUAAUCCACCCGAGGAGUAUGGCCGCAAGGUUGAAACUCAAAGGAAUUGACGGGGGCCCGCACAAGCGGUGGAACAUGUGGUUUACUUAGAUGAUACGGGAGGAACUUGCCCGGGGUUUAAAGGCAGAUCGUCGUGCAGGGAAGUUGGUAUUCCGUUCGGGGCGGACCCCAAGGUGUUGCAUGGUUGUCGUCAGCUCGCAACGUGAGGUGUCGGGUUAAGUCCCAUAACGAGCGCAAUCCUCAUCUUUAGCUGCCAGAGAGUAAUGUGGGGGACUCUAACGAAAGGGCCGGUGUAAACCGUGAGGAAGGGGGGGACGAGGUCAAAUCAGCACGGGCCUUAUGUUCAGGGCUACACAGGUGUUACAAUGCCCAGUACAGAGGGCAGCCACCAGGCGGAUGGAUGCUAAUCUGCAAAGAAGGUGCCACUUUGGACCGAAGUUCAUAACUUGAGUUCACACAGUUGGAAUCAGUAGUAAUCUCGCAUCAGCCAUGCCACGAUGAAUACGUUCCCGGCCCUUGUACAUCCCCUCUGUCACGCCAUGGUAGGCUGGGGAACGAGAAGUCCGUAACCGAGAGGAUCGACCUAGGCAAAACACACAGACUGGGUCUA